GGCUCAGGAUGAACGCUGGCGGCGUACCUAACGCAUGCAAGUCGAACGAGGAGCGUGUAGCAAUAUGCACUCCGAGUGGCAAACGGGUGAGUAACACGUGGGUAAUCUACCCUCCAGUGGGGAAUAACGGACCGAAAGGUUCGCUAAUACCGCAUGGGGUCUGACCCAACGCAAGUUGGGGGGACCAAAGCCUUUGGGCGCUGGAGGCGGAGCCUGCGGCCGAUCAGGUAGUUGGUGGGGUAACGGCCUACCAAGCCGCCGACCGAUAGCUGAUCUGAGAGGAUGACCAGCCACACUGGCACUGUGACACGGGCCAGACUCCUACGGGAGGCAGCAGCGAGGAAUAUUGCGCAAUGGGCGCAAGCCUGACGCAGUAACGCCGCGUGCGGGAUGAAGACCUUCGGGUUGUAAACCGCUUUUCCUGCGGACGAGUGAGGACGGUACGCAGGGAAUCAGUCUCGGCUAACUACGUGCCAGCAGCCGCGGUAAGACGUAGGAGGCGAGCGUUAUCCGGAUUCACUGGGCGUAAAGCGCAUGUAGGCGGUUCGACAAGUCGUGUGUGUAAGCCCCUGGCUCAACUGGGGGAGGUCAUGCGAGACUGUGGGACUGGAGGGCAGCAGAGGCGUAUGGAACUCCCGGUGUAGCGGUGGAAUGCGUAGAGAUCGGGAAGAACACCAGUGGCGAAGGCGGUACGCUGGGCUGCACCUGACGCUGAGAUGCGAAAGUGUGGGGAGCAAACAGGAUUAGAUACCCCGGUAGUCCACACCUUAAACGAUGAGCACUAGGUGUGGGGGGGAAGACCCUCCGUGCCGUAGCCAACGCGUUAAGUGCUCCGCCUGGGGACUAUGAGCGCAAGCU
RNAcentral lists this ribosomal RNA (858 nucleotides) under uncultured bacterium. Its description in RNAcentral is "bacterial SSU rRNA". It matches the Rfam family "Bacterial small subunit ribosomal RNA", at positions 21 to 894 of the family's 1533-position model. The record is from RNAcentral.